AUACCUAAGCGUUACUGCGUUUAAAAGUUCCUAGCUGGAAGCAGGCUGGGCGGAAGAGUCACCGAAAACGGGAUUUGGAAGCCUGGUCGACGGGGGGCUGCGCUUUAAUCUAAGUGCCUGAGAUGCUGCGAAUUCCUUUCGGAAGCAGAGGGUGCGCGCACAACCCCCCUUUACCUGUAUAUUAGUAUAUAUUAGUAUGUAGGUAGAUGCAUGGAGAAGUUCGACGGCAGGAGUAUUGUUUGACUAGAGGUGGAAUUCACUGACUCAAACAGGACUACCAGUGGCGCA
RNAcentral lists this ribosomal RNA (288 nucleotides) under Mikrocytos veneroides. RNAcentral describes it as "partial 18S ribosomal RNA". Lineage: Eukaryota; Endomyxa; Ascetosporea; Mikrocytida; Mikrocytiidae. The record is from RNAcentral.